This 76-nucleotide transfer RNA is filed under the name Alphaproteobacteria bacterium. RNAcentral describes it as "tRNA-Ala". It matches the Rfam family "tRNA". Rfam says of the family: Transfer RNA (tRNA) molecules are approximately 80 nucleotides in length. RNAcentral also lists the same sequence under 1 other name. Lineage: Bacteria; Pseudomonadati; Pseudomonadota; Alphaproteobacteria. The record is from RNAcentral.
GGGGCUAUAGCUCAGUUGGGAGAGCGCUACACUGGCAGUGUAGAGGUCAUCGGUUCGAACCCGUUUAGCUCCACCA